This 395-nucleotide ribosomal RNA is filed under the name uncultured bacterium. RNAcentral describes it as "partial 16S ribosomal RNA". It matches the Rfam family "Bacterial small subunit ribosomal RNA", at positions 523 to 918 of the family's 1533-position model. The record is from RNAcentral.
AUACGUAGGGUGCAAGCGUUAAUCGGAAUUACUGGGCGUAAAGCGUGCGCAGGCGGUUUUGUAAGACAGUGGUGAAAUCCCCGGGCUCAACCUGGGAACUGCCAUUGUGACUGCAAGGCUGGAGUGCGGCAGAGGGGGAUGGAAUUCCGCGUGUAGCAGUGAAAUGCGUAGAUAUGCGGAGGAACACCGAUGGCGAAGGCAAUCCCCUGGGCCUGAACUGACGCUCAUGCACGAAAGCGUGGGGAGCAAACAGGAUUAGAUACCCUGGUAGUCCACGCCCUAAACGAUGUCAACUGGUUGUUGGGGAUGUAUUUUCUCAGUAACGAAGCUAACGCGUGAAGUUGACCGCCUGGGGAGUACGGCCGCAAGGUUAAAACUCAAAUGAAUUGACGGGG